GGUUGACCUCCCUCGGGUCUGCGUGUCAAGAUAAUACAGUUCACCAUGCACCAGCUAUUAGGCAAUUCUGAACAAAUCAGCCCGUUUCCUGAUAGGACUUUCAUAAGUUGUCACCAAGUCAGCUCUGACACCACAGCAUAGAAGCCAUCUGAGUCAGCAGCAAAGGCAACAGCAGGGGGCAUUGAGGGAAUUUCCCCCAAACAUUCCUGACUCCCAGCAAGGACUCACAGGGGACUAGAGAACUGAACGCUGUACUCCAGAUAAGCUGACCAGGGCAGAGGACAGAAAGCCUGUCACCUUGACUCCUGGAAGCCGUGGAGAGACUAUAAGCUUCUUCAGGAAAUGGACUCAGGUUUUUCCCUCCCUGUCUGCUCUCCAGUGCCCAGCAGGGAAUUGGAAACAUCCGGUUCUUUUAAAACACCAACCAGGUGUCACCUUCUACAACGAGACCUUUCUCCUCUUCAGUACCCAACAGUGAAUUGGAAAUAUCCAGCAAAUAUAAGCUGAAACUAAGAUGGAUUCUAUAGCGGUGAAACCAAUAUAGAAGAGUAAAGGCAAGGACUUGCCUGAGCUCUCCGCAAUUCCCCUCCAAACAACUUGAAAAUAAUGCCUCAAAAUGAGCUCUGGAGUGGCAGAACCAACAGCAGAAUGGGGUCAAACAAUUUUCCAGCACAAGACAACUUGGAAGAUUUGCAGGAAAGGUCUAUCUCCCCGGGGUAAGAGCAGAUCACAGU
Molecule: long non-coding RNA, 734 nt
Organism: Phascolarctos cinereus (koala)
Lineage: Eukaryota; Metazoa; Chordata; Mammalia; Diprotodontia; Phascolarctidae
Source: RefSeq, a predicted model, not a curated record